AUGAACGCUGGCGGCGUGCCUAAUACAUGCAAGUCGAGCGAACAGAUGAGGAGCUUGCUCCUCUGACGUUAGCGGCGGACGGGUGAAUAACACGUGGAUAACCUACCUAUAAGACUGGGAUAACUUCGGGAAACCGGAGCUAAUACCGGAUAAUAUAUUGAACCGCAUGGUUCAAUAGUGAAAGACGGUUUUGCUGUCACUUAUAGAUGGAUCCGCGCCGCAUUAGUUAGUUGGUAAGGUAACGGCUUACCAAGGCAACGAUGCGUAGCCGACCUGAGAGGGUGAUCGGCCACACUGGAACUGAGACACGGUCCAGACUCCUACGGGAGGCAGCAGUAGGGAAUCUUCCGCAAUGGGCGAAAGCCUGACGGAGCAACGCCGCGUGAGUGAUGAAGGUCUUCGGAUCGUAAAACUCUGUUAUUAGGGAAGAACAAAUGUGUAAGUAACUAUGCACGUCUUGACGGUACCUAAUCAGAAAGCCACGGCUAACUACGUG
RNAcentral lists this ribosomal RNA (496 nucleotides) under uncultured bacterium. RNAcentral's name for it is "partial 16S ribosomal RNA". It matches the Rfam family "Bacterial small subunit ribosomal RNA", at positions 29 to 507 of the family's 1533-position model. The record is from RNAcentral.